RNAcentral lists this ribosomal RNA (496 nucleotides) under uncultured bacterium. RNAcentral describes it as "partial 16S ribosomal RNA". It matches the Rfam family "Bacterial small subunit ribosomal RNA", at positions 28 to 506 of the family's 1533-position model. The record is from RNAcentral.
GAUGAACGCUGGCGGCGUGCCUAAUACAUGCAAGUCGAGCGAACAGACGAGGAGCUUGCUCCUCUGACGUUAGCGGCGGACGGGUGAGUAACACGUGGAUAACCUACCUAUAAGACUGGGAUAACUUCGGGAAACCGGAGCUAAUACCGGAUAACAUGUUGAACCGCAUGGUUCAACAGUGAAAGACGGUCUUGCUGUCACUUAUAGAUGGAUCCGCGCCGCAUUAGCUAGUUGGUAAGGUAACGGCUUACCAAGGCAACGAUGCGUAGCCGACCUGAGAGGGUGAUCGGCCACACUGGAACUGAGACACGGUCCAGAAUCCUACGGGAGGCAGCAGUAGGGAAUCUUCCGCAAUGGGCGAAAGCCUGACGGAGCAACGCGGCGUGAGUGAAGAAGGUCUUCGGAUCGUAAAACUCUGUUAUUAGGGAAGAACAAAGGUGUAAGUAACUAUGCACGUCUUGACGGUACCUAAUCAGAAAGCCACGGCUAACUACGU